RNAcentral lists this ribosomal RNA (253 nucleotides) under uncultured bacterium. RNAcentral's name for it is "partial 16S ribosomal RNA". It matches the Rfam family "Bacterial small subunit ribosomal RNA", at positions 524 to 776 of the family's 1533-position model. The record is from RNAcentral.
UACGUAGGGAGCAAGCGUUGUCCGGAAUCAUUGGGCGUAAAGCGCGCGUAGGUGGCCCCAUAAGUCCGCUGUGAAAGUCAAAGGCUCAACCUUUGAAAGCCGGUGGAUACUGUGGGACUAGAGUACGGAAGAGGCGAGUGGAAUUCCUGGUGUAGCGGUGAAAUGCGUAGAUAUCGGAAAGAACACCAGUGGCGAAGGCGGCUCUCUGGACUCAUACUGACGCUGAGGCGCGAAAGCAUGGGGAGCAAACAGG